UACAGUUUAGGAAAAGGCAAAGUCG
This 25-nucleotide non-coding RNA is filed under the name Mus musculus (house mouse). Lineage: Eukaryota; Metazoa; Chordata; Mammalia; Rodentia; Muridae. The record is from RNAcentral.